This 185-nucleotide ribosomal RNA is filed under the name uncultured Methanosaeta sp. Its description in RNAcentral is "partial 16S ribosomal RNA". It matches the Rfam family "Archaeal small subunit ribosomal RNA", at positions 1158 to 1338 of the family's 1478-position model. The record is from RNAcentral. Lineage: Archaea; Methanobacteriati; Methanobacteriota; Methanomicrobia; Methanotrichales; Methanotrichaceae.
GAAUACGUCCCGGGCUACACGCGAGCUAACAAUUGGUUGGUACAAGUGGGUAUCCUAACCCGAAGGGACGGGAAUCUCCUAAAACCAAUCUUAGUUCGGAUUGAGGGCUGCAACUCGCCCUCAUGAAGCUGGAAUCCGUAGUAAUCGCGUUUCAACAGAACGCGGUGAAUACGUCCCUGCUCCUU